This 253-nucleotide ribosomal RNA is filed under the name uncultured bacterium. Its description in RNAcentral is "partial 16S ribosomal RNA". It matches the Rfam family "Bacterial small subunit ribosomal RNA", at positions 524 to 776 of the family's 1533-position model. The record is from RNAcentral.
UACGGAGGGUGCAAGCGUUGUUCGGAAUCACUGGGCGUAAAGCGCGUGUAGGCGGUCUCUUAAGUCUGGUGUGAAAGCCCGGGGCUUACCCCCGGAAGUGCACUGGAGACUGGGAGGCUAGAGUACCGGAGAGGAAGGUGGAAUUCCUGGUGUAGCGGUGAAAUGCGUAGAUAUCAGGAGGAACACCGGUGGCGAAGGCGGCCUUCUGGACGGAUACUGACGCUGAGACGCGAAAGCGUGGGGAGCAAACAGG